Molecule: ribosomal RNA, 68 nt
Filed under: Bacillus subtilis
Lineage: Bacteria; Bacillati; Bacillota; Bacilli; Caryophanales; Bacillaceae
Also listed under: 5 other names
Description: partial 16S ribosomal RNA
Rfam family: Bacterial small subunit ribosomal RNA
Source: RNAcentral
UUAUCGGAGAGUUUGAUCCUGGCUCAGGACGAACGCUGGCGGCGUGCCUAAUACAUGCAAGUCGAGCG